Molecule: ribosomal RNA, 460 nt
Filed under: uncultured bacterium
Lineage: Bacteria
Description: partial 16S ribosomal RNA
Rfam family: Bacterial small subunit ribosomal RNA
Source: RNAcentral
CCUACGGGAGGCAGCAGUGAGGAAUAUUGGUCAAUGGGCGCGAGCCUGACCCAGCCAAGUCGCGUGAAGGAUGACUGCCCUACGGGUUGUAAACUUCUUUUAUAAGGGAAUAAAGUGAGGCACGUGUGCCUUUUUGUAUUUACUUUAUGAAUAAGGCUCGGCUAACUCCGUGCCAGCAGCCGCGGUAAUACGGAGGAUCCGCGCGUUAUCCGGAUUUAUUGGGUUUAAAGGGAGCGUAGAUGGGUUGUUAAGUCAGUUGUGAAAGUUUGCGGCUCAACCGUAAAAUUGCAAUUGAUACUGGCAUCCUUGAGUACAGUUGAGGUAGGCGGAAUUCGUGGUGUAGCGGUGAAAUGCUUAGAUAUCACGAAGAACUCCGAUGGCGAAGGCAGCUUACUAAACUGCCACUGACAUUGAUGCUCGAAAGUGUGGGUAUCAAACAGGAUUAGAUACCCUAGUAGUC